GAUGCUGCAGUUUUUCGUCUCUACUAUUGUUAUCUUUAUUGGUAGAAAGUCAACACUGUCAAUACAAAUCUGACGGAUGGUGUGCACCAAGUGUUCGUUGGAUUGUUUUAGAGUAGCCAUAUAUCUGGUUUUGACAUCAAUACUUUUUUGAAUAAGUUUUCAAAGGUUGUGGUUGCAAAAUAUUUUCUUUGUAGAUCCACAACUUCAGUGUAAUUUGUAUCAUCAACCUGAACCCUGCAUUUGGUCAUAAGGUGUGUGAUGGCAGUCUGGC
Molecule: long non-coding RNA, 271 nt
Filed under: Hordeum vulgare
Lineage: Eukaryota; Viridiplantae; Streptophyta; Magnoliopsida; Poales; Poaceae
Description: long non-coding RNA (HVUL_LNC016649)
Source: RNAcentral